UACGGAGGGUGCAAGCGUUAUCCGGAUUUACUGGGUUUAAAGGGUGCGUAGGUGGGCUUGUAAGUCAGUGGUGAAAUCUCCGGGCUUAACCCGGAAACUGCCAUUGAUACUAUAGGUCUUGAAUUAUCUGGAGGUAAGCGGAAUAUGUCAUGUAGCGGUGAAAUGCUUAGAUAUGACAUAGAACACCAAUUGCGAAGGCAGCUGGCUACACAAAUAUUGACACUGAGGCACGAAAGCGUGGGGAUCAAACAGG
RNAcentral lists this ribosomal RNA (253 nucleotides) under uncultured bacterium. RNAcentral describes it as "partial 16S ribosomal RNA". It matches the Rfam family "Bacterial small subunit ribosomal RNA", at positions 524 to 776 of the family's 1533-position model. The record is from RNAcentral.